RNAcentral lists this ribosomal RNA (339 nucleotides) under Serratia marcescens. Its description in RNAcentral is "partial 23S ribosomal RNA". It matches the Rfam family "Bacterial large subunit ribosomal RNA", at positions 1417 to 1755 of the family's 2925-position model. Lineage: Bacteria; Pseudomonadati; Pseudomonadota; Gammaproteobacteria; Enterobacterales; Yersiniaceae. The record is from RNAcentral.
GAUGGGAAACAGGUUAAUAUUCCUGUACUUGGUGUUACUGCGAAGGGGGGACGGAGAAGGCUAGGCUAGCCGGGCGACGGUUGUCCCGGUUUAAGCGUGUAGGGGGUGUGACCUGGUAAAUCCGGUUGCAUAUCAACCCUGAGGCGUGAUGACGAUGCACUACGGUGCAGAAGUAGUUGAUGCCCUGCUUCCAGGAAAAGCCUCUAAGCUCCAGGUAACAUUGAAUCGUACCCCAAACCGACACAGGUGGUCAGGUAGAGAAUACCAAGGCGCUUGAGAGAACUCGGGUGAAGGAACUAGGCAAAAUGGUGCCGUAACUUCGGGAGAAGGCACGCUGGC